Molecule: transfer RNA, 91 nt
Filed under: Western X phytoplasma
Lineage: Bacteria; Bacillati; Mycoplasmatota; Mollicutes; Acholeplasmatales; Acholeplasmataceae
Also listed under: 1 other name
Description: tRNA-Ser
Rfam family: tRNA
About the family: Transfer RNA (tRNA) molecules are approximately 80 nucleotides in length.
Source: RNAcentral
GGAGCAGUACUCAAGUGGUUAUAAGAGGCGUCCCUGCUAAGGACGUAGUCCAAUUUUUGGUGCAAGGGUUCGAAUCCCUUCUGCUCCGCCA